Long non-coding RNA from Schistocerca gregaria, 452 nucleotides. RefSeq lists it as uncharacterized. The transcript is spliced from 3 exons. NCBI's taxonomy places the organism in Eukaryota, Metazoa, Arthropoda, Insecta, Orthoptera, Acrididae. The record is from RefSeq and is a predicted model, not a curated record.
CGCGUAUCCCUCCGCCACUGCUAUUUCUGCUACUUCCGCGAUUUCUGUGACUUCUGCGACUUACCACCGUAUGAAAAAGUUACAUCUGCUCACACAGAAAAUAUCUCAACAAAUCUGUCAUUGGUACCCGAACUACAUUUCAGUCACUCAGUAAAUUGAUAAUUCAAAAUAUCUUUGUCAACAGAUCUGGAGAAAUUGCCACUGCGUCUUUAAACCGUUUUCGUCAGACGAGAGACACAGUUCUGACUCUUGAUUACUGGUUGCUGUACGUAUCUAUCCACAUUAAGGCUAUUGAGAGAGACUCGUGAAGAUUCAAGACAGCUCUUAGAGGAUUUGCAGUUUAAAAGUGACAUAAUUGUGAAAUAAAUGUGCAGAGAUGAGUGAUUAAACUGUGUUUUAUUGAAGUUGUUAUGCGAUUUUAAAGGAAUAAUAAAUAUUAAAUACAGUGAUUG